GAAGGUGUGACGGAGCACGCCGCGUGAGUGAUGAAGGUUUUCGGAUCGUAAAGCUCUGUUGUUAGGGAAGAACAAGUGCCGUUCAAAUAGGGCGGCACCUUGACGGUACCUAACCAGAAAGCCACGGCUAACUACGUGCCAGCAGCCGCGGUAAUACGUAGGUGGCAAGCGUUGUCCGGAAUUAUUGGGCGUAAAGGGCUCGCAGGCGGUUUCUUAAGUCUGAUGUGAAAGCCCCCGGCUCAACCGGGGAGGGUCAUUGGAAACUGGGGAACUUGAGUGCAGAAGAGGAGAGUGGAAUUCCACGUGUAGCGGUGAAAUGCGUAGAGAUGUGGAGGAACACCAGUGGCGAAGGCGACUCUCUGGUCUGUAACUGACGCUGAGGAGCGAAAGCGUGGGGAGCGAACAGGAUUAGAUACCCUGGUAGUCCACGCCGUAAACGAUGAGUGCUAAGUGUUAGGGGGUUUCCGCCCCUUAGUGCUGCAGCUAACGCAUUAAGCACUCCCCCGGGGGG
This 511-nucleotide ribosomal RNA is filed under the name Bacillus amyloliquefaciens. RNAcentral's name for it is "bacterial SSU rRNA". It matches the Rfam family "Bacterial small subunit ribosomal RNA", at positions 377 to 879 of the family's 1533-position model. Lineage: Bacteria; Bacillati; Bacillota; Bacilli; Caryophanales; Bacillaceae. The record is from RNAcentral.